GACGAACGCUGGCGGCGUGCUUAACACAUGCAAGUCGAACGAUGAAGCCGGAGCUUGCUCUGGUGAAUUAGUGGCGAACGGGUGAGUAACACGUGAGUAACCUGCCCUUGACUCUGGGAUAACUGCUAGAAAUGGUAGCUAAUACCGGAUACGACCCUCGGAGGCAUCUCCAGGGGGUGGAAAGAAUUUCGGUCAAGGAUGGACACGCGGCCUAUCAGCUAGGUGGUGAGGUAGCGGCUCACCAAGGCGACGACGAGUAGCCGGCCUGAGAGGGUGACCGGCCACACUGGGACUGAGACACGGCCCAGACUCCUACGGGAGGCAGCAGUGGGGAAUAUUGCACAAUGGGCGCAAGCCUGAUGCAGCAACGCCGCGUGAGGGAUGACGGCCUUCGGGUUGUAAACCUCUUUUAGUAGGGAAGAAGCGAAAGUGACGGUACCUGCAGAAAAAGCACCGGCUAACUACGUGCCAGCAGCCGCCGUAA
This 484-nucleotide ribosomal RNA is filed under the name uncultured bacterium. Its description in RNAcentral is "partial 16S ribosomal RNA". It matches the Rfam family "Bacterial small subunit ribosomal RNA", at positions 28 to 523 of the family's 1533-position model. The record is from RNAcentral.